CCGAGUUUACAACUCCCAAACCCAAUGGGAACGUUACCAAACUGUUGCCUCGGCGGGAUCUCUGCCCCGGGUGCGUCGCAGCCCCGGACCAAGGCGCCCGCCGGAGGACCAACCAAAACUCUUAUUGUAUACCCCCUCGCGGGUUUUUUUAUAAUCUGAGCCUUCUCGGCGCCUCUCGUAGGCGUUUCGAAAAUGAAUCAAAACUUUCAACAACGGAUCUCUUGGUUCUGGCAUCGAUGAAGAACGCAGCGAAAUGCGAUAAGUAAUGUGAAUUGCAGAAUUCAGUGAAUCAUCGAAUCUUUGAACGCACAUUGCGCCCGCCAGUAUUCUGGCGGGCAUGCCUGUCCGAGCGUCAUUUCAACCCUCGAACCCCUCCGGGGGGUCGGGGUUGGGGAUCGGCCCUCCCUUAGCGGGGGCCGUCUCCGAAAUACAGUGGCGGUCUCGCCGCAGCCUCUCCUGCGCAGUAGUUUGCACACUCGCAUCGGGAGCGCGGCGCGUCCACAGCCGUUAAACACCCAACUUUCUGAAAUGUUGACCUCGGAUCAGGUAGGAAUACCCGCUGAACUUAAGCAUAUCAAUAAGCGGAGGAAAAGAAACCAACAGGGAUUGCCCCAGUAACGGCGAGUGAAGCGGCAACAGCUCAAAUUUGAAAUCUGGCCCCUAGGGUCCGAGUUGUAAUUUGUAGAGGAUGCUUUUGGNGAGGUGCCGCCCGAGUUCCCUGGAACGGGACGCCACAGAGGGUGAGAGCCCCGUCUGGCUGGCCGCCGAGCCUCUGUAAAGCUCCUUCGACGAGUCGAGUAGUUUGGGAAUGCUGCUCAAAAUGGGAGGUAUAUGUCUUCUAAAGCUAAAUAUUGGCCA
RNAcentral lists this ribosomal RNA (858 nucleotides) under fungal endophyte. Its description in RNAcentral is "eukaryotic LSU rRNA". The stretch from base 533 to 858 matches the Rfam family "Eukaryotic large subunit ribosomal RNA", at positions 1 to 329 of the family's 3401-position model. The record is from RNAcentral. Lineage: Eukaryota; Fungi.